Non-coding RNA from Ascaris lumbricoides (common roundworm), 64 nucleotides. Lineage: Eukaryota; Metazoa; Nematoda; Chromadorea; Rhabditida; Ascarididae. The record is from Rfam.
GGUCAAUGAUGGUAUUUCAAGACGGGAAUGACGAGAGUUUGAUUAUACUUGAAUGGCUGAGACC